Molecule: ribosomal RNA, 543 nt
Filed under: Streptomyces cyaneofuscatus
Lineage: Bacteria; Bacillati; Actinomycetota; Actinomycetes; Kitasatosporales; Streptomycetaceae
Description: bacterial SSU rRNA
Rfam family: Bacterial small subunit ribosomal RNA
Source: RNAcentral
GCCUUUCGGGGUGGAUUAGUGGCGAACGGGUGAGUAACACGUGGGCAAUCUGCCCUUCACUCUGGGACAAGCCCUGGAAACGGGGUCUAAUACCGGAUAACACUCUGUCCCGCAUGGGACGGGGUUAAAAGCUCCGGCGGUGAAGGAUGAGCCCGCGGCCUAUCAGCUUGUUGGUGGGGUAAUGGCCUACCAAGGCGACGACGGGUAGCCGGCCUGAGAGGGCGACCGGCCACACUGGGACUGAGACACGGCCCAGACUCCUACGGGAGGCAGCAGUGGGGAAUAUUGCACAAUGGGCGAAAGCCUGAUGCAGCGACGCCGCGUGAGGGAUGACGGCCUUCGGGUUGUAAACCUCUUUCAGCAGGGAAGAAGCGAAAGUGACGGUACCUGCAGAAGAAGCGCCGGCUAACUACGUGCCAGCAGCCGCGGUAAUACGUAGGGCGCAAGCGUUGUCCGGAAUUAUUGGGCGUAAAGAGCUCGUAGGCGGCUUGUCACGUCGGAUGUGAAAGCCCGGGGCUUAACCCCGGGUCUGCAUUCGAUACG